UCCUCCUGACAACAUUAUCCUGAGGAACAUUGUCAGGUGCUGUAAAUCAGGUAUAAAAGGCCAGAAAGAAUGUAUUAAAUGAAACAGAGAACUGAAUGACACAGAGAAAAUUGCUAAAAAGGUUUUUUUUAUUUCCUCCUAUUUUUUUUUUCUGAAAAUUCUGGACAUUAGAAAAAGGCCUGAUCAAGCUUGCCAUAAGCAGAACUUGGAUUGCAGCCUGUUGAAAAUUUCCAGUACAGAAAUGGAGCUGUUCAAGCUGGGGAGAAAGUAGAUGCUUAAUAGAGCAGAAAUGAAGAUACAAGAGAGUCCUUUGAACCACCUGACCAUGUGCUCCUCACAAUGUGUGUGGUGUGGCAUUUUGCAGCUCUGACAUCCCUUUAAAACUAGAUGGCUCUUUAGGAAGGUUCAUGAGGUUUAGGAAGUCCACUUCAAAAUCUAUUGAACGAACAUUUUAAGUCAAAAUAUCAAAUGUGAAUGUGAUAUUACUACAAAUAUGUAAUGUGAAUUAAGGUAUUGAGAUGAUAAUUAAAAAAAAGAGAGAGAAGCUAAAAAAUAGGUCUAUACAAUAAAAUGUAGGUGAAUUAUAUAUAGAAUAUAUUUCUAUACCAAAAGCUGUAUUCCGUAAAAUGUUUGUAAUGUGAAUUCCUAAACUUGAAUGUACGUGAGCUCUCAAAGUACCUCACUGAGUAUGUUGAAAGGCCACUUGGCAUCUGUAGUUUUCCAUCUAGCUACACUCAGUCAUCCCACUGUGUAGUAGGGCAGAGACUGAGAAAUUAAGCAGAGUGACACCUUGCCUGCUGAAGACUCUGUAUUGGGUAAGUACUAAGAUUCACUGCAGCACAAAAACUUCAGUGUCAUCCACUUUUAUCAGAACAAUUUGUUCUAUGAGAAGCAGAGCUAGUGGUGCCUGACAGCCUGUAUGUGCACAGGAGAUGUCCCCUGUGUACUCUGUAUUCCUCAUGCUGUAAUUCUAAUGACAAACUCCUUCCUAUAAUUUUUGCUAAUAAUUUACCUGUCUCUUCCUUAUCUGCUGCUUACCUUCUUCGGCUUGCUGCCUGAUUAUUUGGCAUAUACCACAGCUGCUUUGGAAUCACAAGGUCCUCACUGAUGGGUCAGGUUCUGCCAGCCUCAGUAGCAAUUUCUUUAAGCAAAGAAAUUGGCAGAGGUGAUUUGUAGUAGUCAGCAUGGAUAUACAAAAGGGAAAUCAUGCUUAACCAAACUGAUCUCUCUCUAUGUUGAUAUGUUUGUGUUGGUGGAGGACAGGAGAGAAAUUGAUUUACCUCCACUGUAUUAAGGCUUUGACACUUCCCUCAACAUUGUUCAGAGAAUCUGUUCAAAUGCAACUUAGGAAAGUGAGCAGUGAGGUGCACUCAGCUUUACUUUAAGGGUUGUGAUCAACAGCAUCAAAUUCAGCUGGAAUCUGGGCACUAGAGGUGCACCUGAGGGGUUAGCAGUGGAGCCAAUACUAUUUAAGAGCUUCAUUAAUAAUUUUAUUACAAACCUCAGCAGUUUUGCAAGUGAUACAAAACUCUGAGAAUCUGAUGAUACACAGGAGGGUUUUGCUGCUCUUUAGAGGGACCUUGCCAAGCUGGAGGACUUGAUGAAUAGGAAUCUCAUGAAAUAAUAAAAAGAAAUAGCUCCAGGUACUAGGGCAAGCUGGAGACCAAGCUGUUGGAAAAUGUUUACAGAAAAGGAGGAUUGUGGUAGUCAAAAUGGUGACCAAGGGUCAGCAGUGUGAUCUCAUGGCAAAGGUGGUCAACAGCAUCUUCAGCUGCCUGAGGAAGAUUGUCAUGAACAGCCUAGAGAGGUUACAGCUGUGGCACUCAGUCUGGGGUGUUGUUUAAAUCCCUCUUUAGAACUGGCCUGCAGCUCAUCUAUCCUAGUGAGCUGAGCAGAGCUGGGCCAGAGCUGGGCUAGCUGGCAGAGGCAGGCCACAGCCAUGUGGCUAAAUUCUUUUAACCUCCUGAAAAAGGAACAGCAUUGCGAUUUCCAGCAGUGGAUCCAGAUUCUCCAUUGAAGAGUUAUCUGAAAACAUGACAGAACAGUUACUGAUAGCUAAACUCACUCCUAGGCAUAUGGGGACAGAAACAAGUGUGACACCUAGGGGAAUGCUCCCUCCUCCAAGCCUCUUGUCAGACACAUUUUUCUGUGGAAAAUCAAGCGGAACAUUGUCACUUGGAAGUACAGGCUGAAGCAGGACAGUUUCAUUACCUUUGGCAAAACAUAUAAAGAUGCCCUAGAAUGUAACUGCUAUUGUUGAUGCUUUUGACACUUCAGUUUUCAACAAGGAGGAAAAGGGAUUUUUUUGAAACAAGUAGAUUAAUGUAUGUAUAUGCAGAUGUUGGAAAUCCUAUUCUUAUUAGAAGAAAAUUUUGCUGGUCAAAACAGAAAGAGUAAGUAAUUUAGGAAGUUUGAGUCUUUUUCUAGAAAUGCUUUUAGUUGUGGUCACUUGCAAGGUUGUGUUGCACCUCUACAGAGUGUUAAGAAGCAUUAAGUAAAUAAAUAAAUAAAUGGAAUCAUAGAAUUAAUCAGGUGGGAAGAGGCCUCUAGAGAUAGUCCAGCCCAACCCCCCUGUACAGGAUAUAAGUAUUCAGUGCUCUAACUACUAAAAUGUAUCUAGAAUGGGAAAUUUUGAAUGAAUGUAUAUACAAAGUAGGACAUCCACUUUGCCAGGCUGUGUUUUAUGAGGCAACAAUUAAAAAGUAAUCCACGGGUUUUGUCUGUUGCCACUGCUGUACCUGUUUAAAUAAAGGCAUCUUAUUUCUCACGCUCAGUUCUGUAAGUCUGAGACUUCCAUGACAAAUUGUUCACUCUCUGAUCAGAGAAGUGCUUAAAAAUGUAGACUGUUUCUGUAGUCCUUUUCUUUCUGAUUCUAUCUUCAUAAUGUGCAUUAUGCAGUUAUUCACAGUCAAUAUACUAAAUUCUUUUCAGUCAUUUUUUUGCCAGAUCUGAAAUUGCACUUCCAAUCCUAUGACUUGCCUUAUCAGUUAUAGGUAUGUAAAAUAAAAUAAUAUGAUCAGUUGGAUUUGCUUCGACAUAACAAAGUAAUUAUUAUUUUACUACAUUCAUCAUAGCCCCUGUUAUUUCUGCCACCUUUUUACUGAAAAUGAAUGCUAGACCUCAUGUUGGUAUCUUUUCUGAGAUUAUAAAUUGUACUUUUUCCAGCCUGAUAACAACCACAAGAGGGUUAUUACAUAUAUGUCAGAUUAACUAUUCAACUUACUUAGUCACAGGGUGACCUCUUUGAUUUUAAUACAAAUGUCAAAACAUUACACAUUUUCAACAUAAAAAAUCUUUACUGAAAGAGAAGAGAAAAUAUUUAUAUGUGUUUUAUUUAGGCAGCAAGUCCCAACAGAGAGAUCUUGUUAUCUCAUACAGCAUCAAGUCCUUGGUUUCUCUCUCAGCCCCUGCAGUGAUUAAACUGGAGGUGCACAGUUGGUUGGGAAGAAGCACGACUGAGCAGAUUACCUGAACUCACCAAAGACUUAUUCCAUAUCACAUAACAUCCUAACAAGCAAUAAAAGGGAAAAGAGAGAAGUUUAGGAUUAUUAGAUAUCUUUUGCUCAGGAACUGUCCAUGCAAGAGUCUACCCAUAGGUGAGUGCCUUUUCUGCUCACUCUUUUUUUUUCUUUGAUUCCUCUUACCCUGCACUUAUUAAACAAUUUUUCUUUUUGUUUUUUUCUUUUAAACCUUCCAACACUUCUUUCUUUUGGUCUUUCUUUUCUCUUCCCCUGUCAGUGGGGCUGAUGGAGGGGAAGUGAGCAAGCAGCUCAAGCAGCUCAGCUGACCACCAGGGUUAACCCUAACAACUAUUUAUAAUUGUCACACAGAAAUAAAUAUAAUCUCAAACCAUCAGUACUAUCAAUAAAAAGCUCACUAACUACAGCAAUCAUUUGGAAAAACACAUGGUUCCAAAUAUCUGCAGACAUUAUAUUCAUUUUCACUAACUGGAGGCCAGAUCUCUCUAUAAUCCACUUAUUCAUUUGAUCAAUCCCAUACUGAUAUUUCAUGAAUGUUGCAUAAGAUGAACUGUAUGUCUGUGAUGUUUGCAAUAAUAACACUCUGAAAGUUAACAGAAAUCUUAUUAAAGAUGCAAUAAGAUGUUUUUGCAUAUUUUCUGAAUGUAAUGCAGAACAAUUAAUUUAUGUUUUAUAUCUAUAUAUGUGAAAAUUAUGUCUUCUUGAAAAAUCUCUUAAUGUUCAAGAAAAAAUUAGUUUCAGUGAGGUCCUUGUGUCUUUAAUAUAUUUGGCAUACUUCCUCUUUGGUUGUUCUUAUCUAGUGCUUUGAAGAAUAGGUUUUUGAUUAAAUU
Passer domesticus (house sparrow) is the source of this 4309-nucleotide long non-coding RNA. RefSeq lists it as uncharacterized. The transcript is spliced from 4 exons. NCBI's taxonomy places the organism in Eukaryota, Metazoa, Chordata, Aves, Passeriformes, Passeridae. The record is from RefSeq and is a predicted model, not a curated record.